CUUUAUGCUCAGUCUUUUGGCUAAGAUCUAGCAUCUGUUCUUAUCAGUUUAAUAUCUGAUAUGUCCUUCAUCUGAGGACAAUAUGUUAAAUGGGUUUUAGGAGCAGGGAGAUGGGGUAGGAACUUGCUCUGUCUACUCCAUGCAUUGAGCUGGAAUUGCAGGGCCUCCAGAAACAGUGGAUCCCCC
Molecule: small nuclear RNA, 186 nt
Filed under: Mustela putorius furo (domestic ferret)
Lineage: Eukaryota; Metazoa; Chordata; Mammalia; Carnivora; Mustelidae
Description: U2 spliceosomal RNA (ENSMPUG00000021249.1)
Rfam family: U2 spliceosomal RNA
About the family: U2 is a small nuclear RNA (snRNA) component of the spliceosome (involved in pre-mRNA splicing).
Source: Rfam by way of RNAcentral